GGGCCAGCCACCUGCUUAGUCGGAGUAAGAAUGCCUGCAGAGACCUGGACCAGAGUGGGCAGAAUGGAGGGCCUAAAUAGUGUUCCUUGGAGAGAAAAUUACCCUGGGAAUGAAUAAACAAGAGCAAUGCAAAUGAUAUCCACGACUGUUACAGAUGCUUCGUGGAGGUUCAAAAAGACUACAGAUCAAGGCCAGUGACCUUCUACACAUGGUGGACACUCCAGCCUCUGCUCAAUCUCCAUCCACACUUAAAGGAAAUAGCCAACUCUUGGCCAACCUUCAGGCCUGGGAAGAGGCUCAAGCAGACACUGAAGACGGACUUAAGGCUAUACGAUGUCCGGAAGUGGUGGGUUCUUGGUCUCACUGACUUCAAAAAUGAAGACGAAGACGUGGACUCUGGCGGUGAGUGUUACAGUUCUUAAAGGCGGUGUGUCCGGAGUUCAUUCCUUAUAAUGUUGGGAGUUUCUUCCUUAUGGUGGGUUUGUGGUCUCGCUGGCUCCGGAGUGAAGCUGCAGACCUUCGCGGUGAGUGUUACAGCUCUUAAGGCGGCACGUCUGGAGUUGCUGGAUCCUCCCGGUGCGUUUGUGGUCUCGCUGACUUCAGGACUGAAGCUGCAAACCUUUGCCGUGAGUGUUACAGCUUAUAAAAGCAAUGUGGACCCACAGAGAGAACAGCAGCAAGAUUUAUUGGAAAGAGAUAAAGAAUAAGGCUUCCACACUGUGGGAGGGGACCGGAGGGGGUUGCCACUGCUGGCUCCGGCAGCCUGCUUUUAUUCUCUUAUCUGGCCCCACCCACAUCCUGCUGAUUGGUAGAGCCCAGUGGUCUGUUUUGACAGGGUGCUGAUUGGUGCAUUUACAAUCCCUGAGCUAGACACAAAGGUUCUCCAAGUCCCCACCAGAUUAGCUAGAUACAGAGUGUCCAUUGGUGCAUUCACAAACCCUGACCUAGACACAGGGUGCUGAAUGGUGUGUUUACAAACCUUAAGCUAGAUACAGAGUGCCGAUUGGUGUUUUUACAAUCCCUUAGCUAGACAUAAAGGUUCUCCACGUCCCCACCAGACUCAGGAGCCCAGCUGGCUUCACCCAGUGGAUCCCGCCCAGGGGCUGCAGGUGGAGCUGCCUGCCAGUCCCGCGCCGUGUGCCUGCACUCCUUAGCCCUUGGGUGGUGGAUGGGACUGGGCGCCGUGGAGCAAGAGGCGGCGCUCAUCCCGGAGGCUCCGGCGGCACAGGAGCCCACGGAGAGGAGGAGGCUCAGGCAUGGCGGGCUGCAGGUCCCAAGCCCUGCCCCGCGGGAAGGCAGCUAAGGGCUGGCGAGAAAUUGAGCACAGCAGCUGCUGGCCCAGGUGCUAAGCCCCUCAGUGCCUGGGGCCGGUGGGGCCGGCUGGCCGCUCAGAGUGCGGGGUCCGCCCAGCCCACGCCCACCUGGAACUUGCGCUGGCCCGCAAGCACCGCGUGCAGACCCAGUUCCCUCCCGCGCCUCUCCCUCCACACCUCCCAGCAAGCUGAGGGAGCCGGCUCCGGCCUUGGCCAGC
This 1531-nucleotide long non-coding RNA is filed under the name Homo sapiens (human). Its description in RNAcentral is "HSALNT0163041". The record is from RNAcentral. Lineage: Eukaryota; Metazoa; Chordata; Mammalia; Primates; Hominidae.